UCCAUUGGCGAAUCUGCCUGCCGCUCUCAGAACCACACUGGCCUGCCCGCUCCAGCUCACUGUUCGUUUCCCCCCCCACCGUCGGGAAGCCCUCCAAGAAGACGCGAGACUGGGACCUAUGCCUAAGGAUCAUCUACGAGACAUUGUGAUAGCUUUUUCUAAUAAACAUUUACUCACCAGUAAUCUCCGGGCUUGAUUCUACAUGUGGGUUAGAAGUCUACCAUCCAUUAUGACAG
Molecule: long non-coding RNA, 236 nt
Organism: Poecilia latipinna (sailfin molly)
Lineage: Eukaryota; Metazoa; Chordata; Actinopteri; Cyprinodontiformes; Poeciliidae
Exons: 2
Source: RefSeq, a predicted model, not a curated record